This 315-nucleotide long non-coding RNA is filed under the name Nicotiana benthamiana. Its description in RNAcentral is "long non-coding RNA (NBEN_LNC040548)". Lineage: Eukaryota; Viridiplantae; Streptophyta; Magnoliopsida; Solanales; Solanaceae. The record is from RNAcentral.
UCAGAUACGACCUCCGCAAUCUACCGCCCUAGACCGCUGCUGAAAAAUCACCUCGCGACGGCGCCAGCCACCAAACCACCCCAAAUUCCCACCACAACCUCCUCUUCGCCCCCACAUCCUCAAUGCACAUUUACUUGCCUUCAAAUCUCAUUCAAUUCCCUCAAAUUUUGGAAAUCGUAGCGCCGCUCAAAUUUCUCCGGUGGCAGCGCCAACCCCAAACCCCAUCAAAAUCCAACCACGCAACCAUCACCCGUACCUGAAGUCCCAACCCAUCGCCGCUUCCCUCCAAAUCCUCACCAAAUUAGACUAUUUUCC